UUUCAUUCUCAUUCAUUAUCACCACCACCAAUCCUCCAUCUCUCUCUCUCUCUCUCUCUCUCUCUCACCCCCCUUAAAGCUAGGCGAUACUCUUGGGGGAUAAGAGAUCACUAGAGAUACACGAGCGAUACACAAGAUAUAUUCCUCAGAGAGUUCAUGAAGCUAGAUGGGGAAGCUUUUCUUUUGAGGGGAAUGUUGUCUGGCUCGAGGACACUUUAUUUGAUCCAUUUUUUUUGUUAUCGAUCCAAUAUAUACUACCAAUUGAGGAUGAUAUUUUGGUCAUGUUUCAGUGUCGUCGGACCAGGCUUCAUUCCCCCCAAUUUUAUGCUUCCAUGGAGUUAUGCCAUCAUGGUCUACAUGCAAAGAUAAGAAGUCUCUGAGUUUUAGCACCAAAGGAUGAGCUGACUUCCUUCUUCAUUAAUUCUGGAAGUAAAAGGCUAGACAUGAAGGAGCAUAUAUUAUGCAAGUGUAACACAUGCCUAACAAGCUAGUCAUGACUAUUCAGGUUGAAAAAGUAGUAAGCAUUUACAUAUAUUUUUGUGCUUGUGUUUGUGUCGUACAUUUUAAGAAUCAAUGAUCAAAUCCGACAGAAAAAUCAGUUCUGGAUUUUAGUGUUUGGAUCGUCGUUCUUUACUUGCAUUUCCUUUAAUCCCGCUGGUCUCAUUGCUCAUUGGAGCUCAUGUGUGGAAGAGACGUUCACAAGGAGAAAAUAGUUGAUUAGAAAGAUUGGCAAAAGCGCUACAUAUCUACGCCUCUAGGGCAUAGGGUAAUUAACACGUAUCAUCACCUUCUCUCUCUCUCUCUCUCACACACACACAGGCACCUGUGCUCCAUCGAUCCUUCACGUAACCAUGUAUAAAGGGUAUGUUUGAUGCGGCAUAAAUGUGAUGAUAUAAAGGUGACAAGUAUUUUUGUGUUUUA
Alnus glutinosa is the source of this 921-nucleotide long non-coding RNA. RefSeq lists it as uncharacterized. The transcript is spliced from 2 exons. NCBI's taxonomy places the organism in Eukaryota, Viridiplantae, Streptophyta, Magnoliopsida, Fagales, Betulaceae. The record is from RefSeq and is a predicted model, not a curated record.